AACAGAAGGGAGCUUGCUCCCGGAUGUUAGCGGCGGACGGGUGAGUAACACGUGGGUAACCUGCCUGUAAGACUGGGAUAACUCCGGGAAACCGGAGCUAAUACCGGAUAGUUCCUUGAACCGCAUGGUUCAAGGAUGAAAGACGGUUUCGGCUGUCACUUACAGAUGGACCCGCGGCGCAUUAGCUAGUUGGUGGGGUAAUGGCUCACCAAGGCGACGAUGCGUAGCCGACCUGAGAGGGUGAUCGGCCACACUGGGACUGAGACACGGCCCAGACUCCUACGGGAGGCAGCAGUAGGGAAUCUUCCGCAAUGGACGAAAGUCUGACGGAGCAACGCCGCGUGAUUGAUGAAGGUUUACGGAUCGUAAGCUCUGUUGUAGGGAAGANNUUUUUAGAGU
RNAcentral lists this ribosomal RNA (399 nucleotides) under Bacillus pumilus. RNAcentral describes it as "bacterial SSU rRNA". It matches the Rfam family "Bacterial small subunit ribosomal RNA", at positions 68 to 460 of the family's 1533-position model. The record is from RNAcentral. Lineage: Bacteria; Bacillati; Bacillota; Bacilli; Caryophanales; Bacillaceae.